CAAACCAAAUCAAAUCCGGAUUGAAUUCCUCUCUAUCUCCAAGCCAAACCACCAUAGAUCCUCUCCUCUAUCUCCAAGAGUCCACGUGAGCCCAGCUGCAAUCUCUCUCCUCUAUCUCCAAGAGUCCAUACAGGAUCAAAUCUCCACCCAAAUCCAAUCGGAUAGAGCUGCAACCAAAUCUUUCAAAUCCCAACCGAUUUACCUUUGCUACCACCUAUAUAAAGAGGAGGUCUUGAUCUGUUGAAGAGAGGAAGAAAAAUUAGAGGAGGGGGGAGGCUUGGACACCUUGGUGAGGCCCUAUUGCAUCCAAUUGCUGCCGCACGAAAUCGCCGCCGCCGCCGCGCAAGUCCGCCGCGUGCCGUGAACACAGAGCGCAAGCCGUCGUCGCCAUGAACACCAGCUGCAUCUCCACCGCUAUUGACUCGCAAGGUGAGCCCCCGGCAUGAUUGCCGUUACUUCCCCUCUUUAUGUUCGUGCACGGCCGUGCCGUCGUAGCCGGUGCUCCGGCCGCGCCGUUGCGCUUCUCCCUCUCUGCUCUGUGAUAGCCCGGCCUUCGCGCCGUCGUGCUUUUGCCGUGGCCGGUGAUGUUAAAACUGAGGCCCGAUCGCCAUUUUUUUUUCUUUUUGUUCUUGCCCGUGCCUCUGUGCGUGCCAUCGUGCCGCCUUGAGCUCACUGUGAUGUCGUCGUGCUCGCCGUGGCCGGUGAUAAAAAACUGAGGCCCGGCUGUGAUCCCCUCCUCCUCUCCGUGAUGGUCGCAUUGCUAUUGCGCUCACACUUCUCCCCAGUCAUCGAGCCGUGGCGCUGCUGCAUAUGUUGUCUCUGUGACGCCUAAACCCGGCCGUCAUGCCGUGCGCAUUGCUUGCCGUGGCCGGUGAUGCUAAAACUGAGGCCCGGUUGUCGCCAUGUACCUGUCUGUUAUGCGCGCUGCUGUGUUUCAAAAGAGCCCAGCCACCACAUCUUGGCCGCCGUUAAAAAUCAUCUUCUCGGCUAAUCUUGCUGCUGUGGUUGCUAUCCAGAUUGCUUGCAGUGGCUAUGCGCAGGGAAAAGUUAUUCAAAGGGCUUCAUUUGUGGUAGCCCUGUUGAUUUGUUCAAUAAGCCUGAUGGUGACUUGGUGGUAUUGCUAAAGAGCUAUCUGUUGCUAAAGGUGUUGCUGGGUUAUGAUCUAUUGCCUGCAUGUUUGACCUGCUGCUACUCAGUUGUUAUGGCACUGUCAAGUGGCCGCUUGUGUUGCUUCACUGUUAUCUUCCUGCCGACAGAUGUGCUAUUUGGCAUGCUCUUUUGCCGAGCUGAUGAAAGGAUGAUGUUGUUGUGGGCUUCUUCUGGCUGCCCCUGUAUCAAGUGAUACAAUUGCAGAGAUUCUGUUACUGGUUGCCACCACGUCAUUGCCUUUGUGGCUCUGUUGAUUGGUUGGUACUGUGGCUUUGCCUUUGUGGCCUAAAAAGUGAUCACCCUCGUCUUUAUGGUCUUCGCCUUUGUGGCGCGUUGCCUUCGGUUGGCCGAUGAGGACAAGUCCGAGGCCCAAAGAGGAGCUAGUGAGUCAAGCACGGCGUCGGAGCUCCCGGUUGUGGCCAUGCUGCUGCUUUCGGUCGAAGCUACGCGUCGUGCCGCGCUCCUAGCCCACCUCUUCAUAAAAACACAAUUCUGAGGCCUAUGUGGCCGAUGAUGAUCCGGGAUACAUAAACA
Long non-coding RNA from Phragmites australis (common reed), 1683 nucleotides. RefSeq lists it as uncharacterized. NCBI's taxonomy places the organism in Eukaryota, Viridiplantae, Streptophyta, Magnoliopsida, Poales, Poaceae. The transcript has 2 exons. The record is from RefSeq and is a predicted model, not a curated record.